GAAAUGCGAUACGUAAUGCGAAUUGCAGAAUUCAGUGAAUCAUCGAAUCUUUGAACGCAAGUUGCGCUUUCGAGAGCCCUCGGAAGCAUGCCUCUCUGAGUAUCGGUUUCCAUCCUCACAGCAAUGUGGAGAAUGAGAGUCGAGAUGCGUGAUCCUCUCGUCUCUUGAAAUGUCACGACAACUGCGACACACAAGUCCAUCGGAUUCUUGGAACGAUAAUCAUCAUAAUCUGUCAUGGCGCGGAAAUCAUACGAACAAGAUCUCAGAUGAGGUAAGACUACCCGCCGAAUUUAA
This 294-nucleotide unclassified non-coding RNA is filed under the name uncultured fungus. Its description in RNAcentral is "sequence contains ITS1". The stretch from base 1 to 105 matches the Rfam family "5.8S ribosomal RNA", at positions 50 to 154 of the family's 154-position model. Lineage: Eukaryota; Fungi. The record is from RNAcentral.